Molecule: ribosomal RNA, 492 nt
Filed under: uncultured bacterium
Lineage: Bacteria
Description: partial 16S ribosomal RNA
Rfam family: Bacterial small subunit ribosomal RNA
Source: RNAcentral
AGUGAACGCUGGCGGUAGGCCUAACACAUGCAAGUCGAACGGCAGCACAGUAAGAGCUUGCUCUUACGGGUGGCGAGUGGCGGACGGGUGAGGAAUACAUCGGAAUCUACUUUUUCGUGGGGGAUAACGUAGGGAAACUUACGCUAAUACCGCAUACGACCUACGGGUGAAAGCAGGGGAUCUUCGGACCUUGCGCGAUUGAAUGAGCCGAUGUCGGAUUAGCUAGUUGGCGGGGUAAAGGCCCACCAAGGCGACGAUCCGUAGCUGGUCUGAGAGGAUGAUCAGCCACACUGGAACUGAGACACGGUCCAGACUCCUACGGGAGGCAGCAGUGGGGAAUAUUGGACAAUGGGCGCAAGCCUGAUCCAGCCAUACCGCGUGGGUGAAGAAGGCCUUCGGGUUGUAAAGCCCUUUUGUUGGGAAAGAAAAGCAGCAGGUUAAUACCCCGAUGUUGUGACGGUACCCAAAGAAUAAGCACCGGCUAACUUCGUG